Molecule: transfer RNA, 77 nt
Filed under: Campylobacterales bacterium
Lineage: Bacteria; Pseudomonadati; Campylobacterota; Epsilonproteobacteria; Campylobacterales
Also listed under: 7 other names
Description: tRNA-Thr
Rfam family: tRNA
About the family: Transfer RNA (tRNA) molecules are approximately 80 nucleotides in length.
Source: RNAcentral
GCUGAUGUAGCUCAGUCGGCUAGAGCACUUGAUUCGUAAUCAAGAGGCCGGGAGUUCGAGUCUCCCCAUCAGCACCA